AGGACGAACGCUGGCGGUGCGCCUAACACAUGCAAGUCGAACGGUGAACCGGGCUUCGGCCCGGGGAUCAGUGGCGAACGGGUGCGUAACACGUGGGCAACCUGCCCCCGACCCUGGGAUAACCCCGGGAAACCGGAGCUAAUACCGGAUACUCUCCUCCGACCACAUGGUCAGAAGAGGAAAGGUCCGCCGGUCGGGGAUGGGCCCGCGGCCUAUCAGCUUGUUGGUGGGGUAACGGCCUACCAAGGCGACGACGGGUAGCUGGUCUGAGAGGACGACCAGCCACACUGGGACUGAGACACGGCCCAGACUCCUACGGGAGGCAGCAGUGGGGAAUCUUGCGCAAUGGGCGAAAGCCUGACGCAGCGACACCGCGUGGGGGAUGAAGGCCUUUCAGGUCGUAAACCCUUUCGGCAGGGACGAAGCGAUCUCGUGACGGUACCUGCAGAAGAAGCCUCGGCUAACUACGUGCCAGCAGCCGC
This 482-nucleotide ribosomal RNA is filed under the name uncultured soil bacterium. RNAcentral describes it as "bacterial SSU rRNA". It matches the Rfam family "Bacterial small subunit ribosomal RNA", at positions 26 to 518 of the family's 1533-position model. The record is from RNAcentral.